AUCGAGUAUAUGGGUAAACGGCAAUAAAUAUUCUCGGUGUAAGUUAGUCGGUUGAAAUUGGAGAGCCUGCUGCAGCGGCAGGAUUAAGUGCGGCGAGCUAUCCUUUUUGGGCGAUAAUCUUGCAUUUUAAAUAUUUCGCAAGAAGCAACACGCAAAUCCGCUGACUUGUCACACCUUCGAGCGCAGGUACAUAGUUGGGCAGCCAGGAACCAGGGAGGGACUUAAACGUAGCACCUUGUCAGGUGGUGCUGAUGGCAAUGGCAAUGGCGAUGGCGAUCCCGAGAUGGUGAUCAAAGCAACAGCCGCUGAUUAAAGACAAAAAAAAUGAAAACACGACGCACACAUGGCAAAAAAGGGGGAAUUUGUCGCCUUUUGUGUAGAGCUGCAUUGCGCAGCAGCGCCGUCAAACGAAAGUAUUUAAUUUCAGGUAAAUUUGUAAGAUAAAUAAUUGUCGCUUACCUGAAAGAGCUGAAAGAGGGGAAUGCGAUGCGCUUCAAAGAACCUCAUUGUGUUUUGCAUAUGCUGCUAUAUGGCGGCGUGUGUGUUCGCCAUCACGGCCAGAACUUUGGCCCAAAGGACCUUCAAAAGGUCCGCCGAUGGUGGUGUGUAGAUUAUGGGACAACGAUGCCAUUGUUGCAGCCGGAGGAUCGGAUCGCCUGCUGCGACCGGAUCACAACAGCGGGACACACGGGACGAUCAAUAAUGCCCCGGAUCAGCUGCGGAAUCAUCACCAGCCCCGCUCGCCACUUUGACGCAUCACUUUUGAUGAUUCGAGUACGGGAUGGAAGACGACGAGAUUCCCAUUUCGAGCAACUCGAAAUGUCAAAACACAUCCGCCACACACAUCGCGGCAUCAUAGCUACGAUUGAAUCCUCAAGAAUCUCACAGCUGGUGGCAAUGAUGACGAAUCGGAAAUGGAACUCAAUGCGCCAAUGCGCCGAUGCGUCGGCCAUAAUCAAUAAGCCGAGAAAUUUGGAACCACUUGCAGGGCAGCACAGUGGUACGGAUACACAAGUCAGCUACUUAAAAAUUGUAGAACCCUAUACUUUAAAACAAUUAAUUAGUCCAUUUCAUUUUAUAAGUUUAUAAAACAUCUAUUAUCUGUGCUUUAAGCUAUAAUACAUUUCAGGCAAACAAAACAUAUUUUUCCUAU
Molecule: non-coding RNA, 1153 nt
Organism: Drosophila melanogaster (fruit fly)
Lineage: Eukaryota; Metazoa; Arthropoda; Insecta; Diptera; Drosophilidae
Source: Ensembl